GAACCGCUUGAUCUAUAUUUGUUC
RNAcentral lists this small nuclear RNA (24 nucleotides) under Arabidopsis thaliana (thale cress). RNAcentral describes it as "snRNA_11601". Lineage: Eukaryota; Viridiplantae; Streptophyta; Magnoliopsida; Brassicales; Brassicaceae. The record is from RNAcentral.